UGGGGAAUAUUGGACAAUGGGGGGAACCCUGAUCCAGCCAUGCCGCGUGUGUGAAGAAGGCCUUAUGGUUGUAAAGCACUUUAAGCGAGGAGGAGGGUACUGGUAUUAAUACUACCAGGUACUGGACGUUACUCGCAGAAUAAGCACCGGCUAACUCUGUGCCAGCAGCCGCGGUAAUACAGAGGGUGCGAGCGUUAAUCGGAUUUACUGGGCGUAAAGCGUGCGUAGGCGGCUAAUUGAGUCGGAUGUGAAAUCCCCGAGCUUAACUUGGGAAUUGCAUUCGAUACUGGUUAGCUAGAGUGUGGGAGAGGAUGGUAGAAUUCCAGGUGUAGCGGUGAAAUGCGUAGAGAUCUGGAGGAAUACCGAUGGCGAAGGCAGCCAUCUGGCCUAACACUGACGCUGAGGUACGGAAGCAUGGGGAGCAAACAGG
RNAcentral lists this ribosomal RNA (430 nucleotides) under Pseudomonadota bacterium. RNAcentral's name for it is "Proteobacteria bacterium partial 16S ribosomal RNA". It matches the Rfam family "Bacterial small subunit ribosomal RNA", at positions 355 to 776 of the family's 1533-position model. The record is from RNAcentral. Lineage: Bacteria; Pseudomonadati; Pseudomonadota.